AGUGAACGCUGGCGGCGUGCUUAACACAUGCAAGUCGAACGAGAACGGAAUAUAGCUUGCUAUAUUUGUCAGCUAAGUGGCGCACGGGUGAGUAAUGUAUAGAUAACCUGCCCUUAAGAAAGGAAUAACAGUUGGAAACGACUGCUAAUGCCCUAUAUGCCUUUAAUACAUAAGUAUGCAAGGGAAGCGCUUUAGUGCUUAAGGAUGGGUCUGUAUGGUAUCAGCUUGUUGGUGAGGUAAUGGCUCACCAAGGCUAUGACGCCGAACUGGUUUGAGAGGAUGAUCAGGCACACUGGAACUGAGACACGGUCCAGACUCCUACGGGAGGCAGCAGUGGGGAAUAUUGCACAAUGGACGAAAGUCUGAUGCAGCAACGCCGCGUGGAGGAUGACACAUUUCGGUGCGUAAACUCCUUUUAUAUAGGAAGAUAAUGACGGUACUAUAUGAAUAAGCACCGGCUAACUCCGUGCCAGCAGCCGCCGUAA
This 485-nucleotide ribosomal RNA is filed under the name uncultured bacterium. Its description in RNAcentral is "partial 16S ribosomal RNA". It matches the Rfam family "Bacterial small subunit ribosomal RNA", at positions 29 to 523 of the family's 1533-position model. The record is from RNAcentral.